UUCAGCAGGAAGUAGCCAGAAAGAGUCGU
Molecule: non-coding RNA, 29 nt
Filed under: Callithrix jacchus (white-tufted-ear marmoset)
Lineage: Eukaryota; Metazoa; Chordata; Mammalia; Primates; Cebidae
Also listed under: 1 other name
Source: RNAcentral